AUUGAACGCUGGCGGCAUGCUUUACACAUGCAAGUCGAACGGCAGCGCGGGCUUCGGCCUGGCGGCGAGUGGCGAACGGGUGAGUAAUACAUCGGAAAGUGCCCGGUAGUGGGGGAUAGCUCGGCGAAAGCCGGAUUAAUACCGCAUACGACCUGAGGGUGAAAGCGGGGGAUCUUCGGACCUCGCGCUAUCGGAGCGGCCGAUGGCGGAUUAGCUAGUUGGUGGGGUAAAGGCCUACCAAGACGACGAUCCGUAGCUGGUCUGAGAGGACGACCAGCCACACUGGGACUGAGACACGGCCCAGACUCCUACGGGAGGCAGCAGUGGGGAAUUUUGGACAAUGGGCGAAAGCCUGAUCCAGCAAUGCCGCGUGUGUGAUGAAGGCCUUCGGGUUGUAAAGCACUUUUGGCGGGAACGAAAAGCACUGUGCCAAUACCACGGUUCGAUGACGUUACCCGCAGAAUAAGCACCGGCUAACUACGUG
Molecule: ribosomal RNA, 484 nt
Filed under: uncultured bacterium
Lineage: Bacteria
Description: partial 16S ribosomal RNA
Rfam family: Bacterial small subunit ribosomal RNA
Source: RNAcentral